CCUACGGGAGGCAGCAGUGAGGAAUAUUGGACAAUGGGCGCAAGCCUGAUCCAGCCAUGCCGCGUGCAGGAUGACGGUCCUAUGGAUUGUAAACUGCUUUUAUACGAGAAGAAACACUCCGACGUGUCGGAGCUUGACGGUAUCGUAAGAAUAAGGAUCGGCUAACUCCGUGCCAGCAGCCGCGGUAAUACGGAGGAUCCAAGCGUUAUCCGGAAUCAUUGGGUUUAAAGGGUCCGUAGGCGGUUUAAUAAGUCAGUGGUGAAAGCCCAUCGCUCAACGGUGGAACGGCCAUUGAUACUGUUAAACUUGAAUUAUUAGGAAGUAACUAGAAUAUGUAGUGUAGCGGUGAAAUGCUUAGAGAUUACAUGGAAUACCAAUUGCGAAGGCAGGUUACUACUAAUUGAUUGACGCUGAUGGACGAAAGCGUGGGUAGCGAACAGGAUUAGAUACCCUGGUAGUCCACGCCGUAAACGAUGGAUACUAGCUGUUGGGAGCAAUCUCAGUGGCUAAGCGAAAGUGAUAAGUAUCCCACCUGGGGAGUACGUUCGCAAGAAUGAAACUCAAAUGAAAUUGACGG
Molecule: ribosomal RNA, 577 nt
Filed under: uncultured bacterium
Lineage: Bacteria
Description: bacterial SSU rRNA
Rfam family: Bacterial small subunit ribosomal RNA
Source: RNAcentral